This 774-nucleotide ribosomal RNA is filed under the name Weissella cibaria. RNAcentral's name for it is "bacterial SSU rRNA". It matches the Rfam family "Bacterial small subunit ribosomal RNA", at positions 88 to 849 of the family's 1533-position model. The record is from RNAcentral. Lineage: Bacteria; Bacillati; Bacillota; Bacilli; Lactobacillales; Lactobacillaceae.
GCAAAGAGUGGCGAACGGGUGAGUAACACGUGGGAAACCUACCUCUUAGCAGGGGAUAACAUUUGGAAACAGAUGCUAAUACCGUAUAACAAUAGCAACCGCAUGGUUGCUACUUAAAAGAUGGUUCUGCUAUCACUAAGAGAUGGUCCCGCGGUGCAUUAGUUAGUUGGUGAGGUAAUGGCUCACCAAGACGAUGAUGCAUAGCCGAGUUGAGAGACUGAUCGGCCACAAUGGGACUGAGACACGGCCCAUACUCCUACGGGAGGCAGCAGUAGGGAAUCUUCCACAAUGGGCGAAAGCCUGAUGGAGCAACGCCGCGUGUGUGAUGAAGGGUUUCGGCUCGUAAAACACUGUUGUAAGAGAAGAAUGACAUUGAGAGUAACUGUUCAAUGUGUGACGGUAUCUUACCAGAAAGGAACGGCUAAAUACGUGCCAGCAGCCGCGGUAAUACGUAUGUUCCAAGCGUUAUCCGGAUUUAUUGGGCGUAAAGCGAGCGCAGACGGUUAUUUAAGUCUGAAGUGAAAGCCCUCAGCUCAACUGAGGAAUUGCUUUGGAAACUGGAUGACUUGAGUGCAGUAGAGGAAAGUGGAACUCCAUGUGUAGCGGUGAAAUGCGUAGAUAUAUGGAAGAACACCAGUGGCGAACGCGGCUUUCUGGACUGUAACUGACGUUGAGGCUCGAAAGUGUGGGUAGCAAACAGGAUUAGAUACCCUGGUAGUCCACAGCGUAACGAUGAGUGCUAGGUGUUUGAGGGUUUCCGCCCUUAAGUGCCGC